AGGGAAUCUUCCACAAUGGACGCAAGUCUGAUGGAGCAACGCCGCGUGAGUGAAGAAGGUUUUCGGACCGUAAAGCUCUGUUGUUGGUGAAGAAGGAUAGAGGUAGUAACUGGCCUUUAUUUGACGGUAAUCAACCAGAAAGUCACGGCUAACUACGUGCCAGCAGCCGCGGUAAUACGUAGGUGGCAAGCGUUGUCCGGAUUUAUUGGGCGUAAAGCGAGCGCAGGCGGAAGAAUAAGUCUGAUGUGAAAGCCCUCGGCUUAACCGAGGAAUUGCAUCGGAAACUGUUUUCUUGAGUGCAGAAGAGGAGAGUAGAACUCCAUGUGUAGCGGUGGAAUGCGUAGAUAUAUGGAAGAAUACCAGUGGCGAAGGCGGCUCUCUGGUCUGCAACUGACGCUGAGGCUCGAAAAGCAUGGGUAGCGAACAGGAUUAGAUACCCUGGUAGUCCAUGCCGUAAGCGAUGAGUGCUAAGUGUUGGGAGGCUUCCGCCUCUCAGUGCUGCAGCUAACGCAUUAAGCACUCCGCCUGGGGGAGUACGACCGCAAGGUUGAAAC
RNAcentral lists this ribosomal RNA (554 nucleotides) under uncultured bacterium. RNAcentral describes it as "partial 16S ribosomal RNA". It matches the Rfam family "Bacterial small subunit ribosomal RNA", at positions 356 to 900 of the family's 1533-position model. The record is from RNAcentral.